Syzygium oleosum is the source of this 630-nucleotide long non-coding RNA. RefSeq lists it as uncharacterized. The transcript is spliced from 2 exons. NCBI's taxonomy places the organism in Eukaryota, Viridiplantae, Streptophyta, Magnoliopsida, Myrtales, Myrtaceae. The record is from RefSeq and is a predicted model, not a curated record.
AACAAGGCUUCAGCUUGUUUUGGAUCUACCCGAGCCUGCCCGAAACAAGCCCACCAAAAACAAACAAGAACCAUUUGAUCUUCUUGCUCCCAAGCCCACCCGAAACCUAUCAUCUUCUUCCAGAGCUCCGCUUUCUCUCUCUAGCGGAUCCUGUCUCCUCCCCAGUUUGACUUGCGCCACCUCCCUCGAUCCACCGUCAUCGUCAUCCCCUCCCAGGCAUCGAGCUCGAACCAAUAAGUGUUGUUAGAGGAAGCUUUCUACGAACAAUCAUCACAGUAAAGCUUUUACAUUGUCCUUUUUAAGGGCUGAUCACGAGUAUUCUGGUGAAGGAUCAGCAUGUGAAACUAUUGCUGAGGGGGCGAAAAGGGAGCAACUGCUGGAAAUUGUUCAUUUAGACAGACUUUUUCAUGGGCAACUCUGGAUGAGCAGCUGACUGACUCAUUGAUGGACAAAAUUUGUUUAUACUUCAUUGAAACUGGGGGUCUACCAGUCUUUGUUGGAGAGUUCUACGGAAGAAUGAACAUGACCUAGAUCUUGCUUUAUGGAAUUAGUGCUCUUGUUUGUCACAGUCAACAUUUGGGAUCUAAUGUUUUGAAUACUACAAUAAAGCUCCUCUGUGUAAUUAAGACA